RNAcentral lists this transfer RNA (65 nucleotides) under Usnea subfusca. RNAcentral's name for it is "tRNA-Gln". Lineage: Eukaryota; Fungi; Ascomycota; Lecanoromycetes; Lecanorales; Parmeliaceae. The record is from RNAcentral.
AUACAUUUAUCUACGCACUAAAUCAGGUAGCCAGAAGGGCCACCCCCACCUAUAAAUAAAAUAUA